Molecule: ribosomal RNA, 508 nt
Filed under: uncultured Glomus
Lineage: Eukaryota; Fungi; Glomeromycota; Glomeromycetes; Glomerales; Glomeraceae
Description: SSU rRNA
Rfam family: Eukaryotic small subunit ribosomal RNA
Source: RNAcentral
AGCAGCCGCGGUAAUUCCAGCUCCAAUAGCGUAUAUUAAAGUUGUUGCAGUUAAAAAGCUCGUAGUUGAAUUUCGGGGUUAGUAGGUUGGUCAUGCCUCUGGUAUGUACUGGUCUCACUGAUUCCUCCUUCCUGAUGAACCGUAAUGCCAUUAAUUUGGUGUUGCGGGGAAUUUGGACUGUUACUUUGAAAAAAUUAGAGUGUUUAAAGCAAGCUAACGCUUGGAUACAUUAGCAUGGAAUAAUGAAAUAGGACGUUCGAUCCUAUUUUGUUGGUUUCUAGGAUUGACGUAAUGAUUAAUAGGGAUAGUUGGGGGCAUUAGUAUUCAAUUGUCAGAGGUGAAAGUCUUGGAUUUAUUGAAGACUAACUACUGCGAAAGCAUUUGCCAAGGAUGUUUUCAUUAAUCAAGAACGAAAGUUAGGGGAUCGAAGACGAUCAGAUACCGUCGUAGUCUUAACCAUAAACUAUGCCGACUAGGGAUCGGAUGAUGUUAAUUUUUUAAUGACUCA